RNAcentral lists this ribosomal RNA (254 nucleotides) under uncultured bacterium. Its description in RNAcentral is "partial 16S ribosomal RNA". It matches the Rfam family "Bacterial small subunit ribosomal RNA", at positions 524 to 776 of the family's 1533-position model. The record is from RNAcentral.
UACAUGGGGUGCAAACGUUGCUCGGAAUUAUUGGGCGUAAAGCGCACGUAGGCGGUUCGUUAAGUCGGAUGUGAAAGCCCUCGGCUCAACUGAGGAAGUGCACCCGAAACUGGCGAGCUUGAGUACGAAAGAGGAUCGCGGAAUUCCCGGUGUAGAGGUGAAAUUCGUAGAUAUCGGGAGGAACACCGGUGGCGAAAGCGGCUCACUGGACCAUAACUGACGCUGAUGCACGAAAAGUGUGGGGAUCAAACAGG